CUUCACUUCUUCUCUCCCUUCCUUUCCAAUGACUUGAUCUUUCUAAUCAUUUGAUCUAAUCUCUUGAUCUUUCUAAUCAUUCGCCUUCCCCAACUCUGAAUCUCAUCACCUCUCUCUUUCUUUUCUCAUCUCACCCCCUUCCUUCCUCUCUUCCUCUUAACCAAUAAAGUCCUAUUUGUUGGAGUCUGUAAAGUCCCUUACAUUUCUCUAGGAGUGCGUGUUGCCCAGUGACUGCCCAGUGAAUUUAACUCUGAAGAGGAGAAAACUGAGGUAUGGAACUUGGAAGGGGUUUCUUUACAGCUGGGAAGGCAAGCAAUGAGCAUUUAUUAACUCUGUGCCAGACACAAUACAAGUAAGAAGAAAGUUCCUGCCUUUGAAGAGCUUACAUUCAUUCUACAGGGAGAAGAAGGGGAGCUGAAAAUCAGGGGGAUUGGCUGGGAGCAGGGAGAAGGUAUCCCCUUACCUGUAGGUAAGGAUGUAGAAUGAGUCCAUGGCAGAAUCAGAAUUUAGAAUCCUAGAACUAGAAGGGACUUCAGAACAUUUUGUCCAAACUUCUUCUCACACAGAAAAGAAAGGAUUGAUGAAGGUCACACAGCUAGUGUGUGUCUUCAUCAUACCCAGAAGCCUGCGGGUGUUCUCCCCCUGGGAACCAACCAUCUGGCUUUCUCUCCAUCCCGGUGAGUUAAGUGGUGCAAAUAUCUUACAGAAGAUGAAGAAAGAAAGAAAGAGUCUCAAAGAAGCAAAUGACAUACUACUCAGAGACCCUAGAGCUGGGUCUCAAACCCGUCUUUUCCAGCUUGAAAUCUAAAGUAAAAACACUAGGCUUAUGAACCAGCCCAAGUGAGAAACAUCUAAAGAGAGAAGCUCAUUUCCUGAGGGUGAGGUAUUUGCCCUCGUGGAAGAGGAAAAAGUCUUCUUGGGAAAACUAAUAAUAGACAUGUAGCCCUCUGCAAAAUCCAGUGGGGCCUCAUUUUACACCAACUCAACAGACUUGAAUUCUGGUAUAUGCAAAUGGAAAUAAAAAUGAUAAUAGCAG
RNAcentral lists this long non-coding RNA (1036 nucleotides) under Monodelphis domestica (gray short-tailed opossum). RNAcentral's name for it is "lncRNA (ENSMODG00000046840.1)". The record is from RNAcentral. Lineage: Eukaryota; Metazoa; Chordata; Mammalia; Didelphimorphia; Didelphidae.